AAUAGAUACCCGGGUAGUCCAUGCCGUAAACGUUGGGCGCUAGAUGUGGGGACCAUUCCACGGUUUCCGUGUCGCAGCUAACGCAUUAAGCGCCCCGCCUGGGGAGUACGGCCGCAAGGCUAAAACUCAAAGGAAUUGACGGGGGCCCGCACAAGCGGCGGAGCAUGCGGAUUAAUUCGAUGCAACGCGAAGAACCUUACCAAGGCUUGACAUAUACGAGAACGCUCUAGAAAUAGAGAACUCUUUGGACACUCGUAUACAGGUGGUGCAUGGUUGUCGUCAGCUCGUGUCGUGAGAUGUUGGGUUAAGUCCCGCAACGAGCGCAACCCUCGUUCUAUGUUGCCAGCGGUUCGGCCGGGAACUCAUAGGAGACUGCCGGGGUCAACUCGGAGGAAGGUGGGGAUGACGUCAAAUCAUCAUGCCCCUUAUGUCUUGGGCUUCACGCAUGCUACAAUGGCCGGUACAAAGGGCUGCAAUACCGUAAGGUGGAGCGAAUCCCAAAAAGCCGGUCUCAGUUCGGAUUGAGGUCUGCAACUCG
This 538-nucleotide ribosomal RNA is filed under the name uncultured bacterium. RNAcentral's name for it is "bacterial SSU rRNA". It matches the Rfam family "Bacterial small subunit ribosomal RNA", at positions 777 to 1314 of the family's 1533-position model. The record is from RNAcentral.